RNAcentral lists this non-coding RNA (30 nucleotides) under Rattus norvegicus (Norway rat). Lineage: Eukaryota; Metazoa; Chordata; Mammalia; Rodentia; Muridae. The record is from RNAcentral.
UCACUCUGAAUGCACACCUUUGACAGCCGU